This 207-nucleotide ribosomal RNA is filed under the name uncultured bacterium. Its description in RNAcentral is "partial 16S ribosomal RNA". It matches the Rfam family "Bacterial small subunit ribosomal RNA", at positions 568 to 774 of the family's 1533-position model. The record is from RNAcentral.
CACGUAGGCGGCGAUUUAAGUCAGAGGUGAAAGCCCGGGGCUCAACCCCGGAACUGCCUUUGAGACUGGAUUGCUUGAAUCCUGGAGAGGUGAGUGGAAUCCCGAGUGUAGAGGUGAAAUUCGUAGAUAUUCGGAAGAACACCAGUGGCGAAGGCGGCUCACUGGACAGGUAUUGACGCUGAGGUGCGAAAGCGUGGGGAGCAAACA